Panicum virgatum (switchgrass) is the source of this 4207-nucleotide long non-coding RNA. RefSeq lists it as uncharacterized. Lineage: Eukaryota; Viridiplantae; Streptophyta; Magnoliopsida; Poales; Poaceae. The transcript is spliced from 3 exons. The record is from RefSeq and is a predicted model, not a curated record.
UGGGAAACGUGGCGUCCCGUUCCGCCCGACCGCCCGACCUGGGUCGCGUUCAUCCGUCCCCCUCCUCCACUCCCUUUCGGAUCCAGGGGCCGGUGGAGAGCCGCGGCAGCGCAUCCGUCCCCCUCCCCCGCUCCCUUCCGGAUCCAGGGGCCACGGCGGUGGAGAGCCGCGGCCGCGCCAGCUCCCACAGCGGUGGCCAGCUAGGUCCGCAGGCCCUCACUCGGUGACUGUCAUCCUUCCCCCUCCCCCACUCCCUUCCGGAUCCAGGCGCCACGGCGGUGGAGAGCCGCGGCGGCGCCAGCUCCCACAGCGGUAGCCAGCUUGGUCCGCGGCCGCUGGGCGAUCCAGGCGUCCACGGCGGUGCAAAGUCGCGGCUGCGCCAUGUCUCAGUGCGGUGGCCAGCUAGGUCCGCGGCGGGGGAACCAGCUCGGUCCCUGGCUGGGCGAGCCGCGGCGGCGCCAGCUCUCAGUGCGGCGGCGCUCUCAGUCCCCUCGCCGUCCCGCAGGCGCGCCCCCCGUUCCCUUCGUCCCAGCUCGAGGAGGAGGAGGCCCGUUCCCUCGUCGACAGCGACCUCUACGACCUCACAUCCGCGCCGCUGCAGCUCCUCGCGGGGGAGGCCCGGUCGGAGGUGGCCAUCACCGGCGGCGACUCCCUCUCGGGCCACCUCGAUCUCUGGUGCCUGGACGUCUCCGCUGCGCUCGACCAGGUCAACGACUCCUCACAUUACCAUUAGGGUGCAUUUCACCAGGUUAGGUAUGUUUGAGUGAAGUUUCUGGCGAAGAUGGUGUCCUGAUGUGAUCCAGCUGUAGGAUCCCUUUGUGUUACUGCUAAAGCUCUGUAAUAAUGGUCAGGUCGAAGUUUUAUAAAAACCUGGAGGUCCUAGGAGAAAGUCUCUUAGUCUUUGGUACUUAGUACUUAAAGAGUCCUCUUGUAUUUCAAUGUCAAGAGGUACCAAUCUCUCUCCCAUACAAUUUAGUGCUUCUUAUUAUUUCCCUGUGCUAAAAUUGUACAUAUAUGAGAUUAUUAUCCAUACUUGAUCAAGGCAAAUCAGCCUGCACAUUUGUAAUUUGCUAAGAUAAGGCAAAUAAAUUAUCUUAUUGCUUUUGUUUUCUUUAUUCCAUGAACCUCAACUGUUGGAUGAAUAGACUAGCUCAUCAUGGCACUGUUGUUAUGGCCAUACUAAUUUCAUUACACGGUUCUGUAGUGAUGAAGUGCAGGAUCAGGAAUAUAUAAUAUCCUUGACCUGUUCUAUGCCUGGCUGCCUGCCAUACAUAGCUGCUAAUUUUGAAUGCGUGUGCAGUAGACGUUUUUAGGAAAUGAAUACGAGGCAUAGAAAACCAAACAUUCAGACUAAUCACUAAUGAAAUAACUGAAAGUGUGCACCCCUGCUGCACUAAUUGUCUUGUGUCUAGGAGUCCUCAAGUAUUCACACAAAUCCAAGACAUAUGUCGAUCAGAUUGUAGGAACCAGCAUAGAUUAGAUAAAGUUGUUACAAACUAAAGCAAUGAAAGGAGGAGCUCAGUGGUAUGAAGUCACAAAGUUUAGAACAAGGUGUAACCAACUAAGCAACUAUUUGGACAGCACCUAACUACUGAUGAUAGGAGAUCAUAUUUUUGUGUAUGGGCUCACUUGAAGAGGUCCAGGAUUCGCGUUCAUACGGUUUUCGGUCUGCACACGUUGAGCGAUAGUUGUACUGCUAGAUUGUUCCUUUGUAGAGGCAUUAGCUUCAAGCUUUUUCUUUUUUUUCUCCUUGUUCUCUGUUAGAAUCAUCAGGCUGUAGAAUUUUCUUCGGCCGUCCUCGUCCCUGUUUCUGCUUGGGUGAUGUAGACCGGUUGGAUGUGUUGGGGUCCUCUGGUUGGCUGAUCUUGAUAACAUCAUCAUCUGCAUCAUUGGUCUGGUUCGCUCGCUUUUCCUCUUGCUUGGCUUUGUAUUCAUCCUCCUAAACAAUAAUGUGGGGAAGGCAUACUGAUUAUGCUCUCAUUGUAAAGCUAUAAGGUGGGGAAAUCAUUUUAGGAAGGGUGAUUUGUAGCACAAACCUUGAUGGCAUGCCUAUAGGAUUCUUUUCUGAGGUGGUUGCACUCAGAUCGGACAAGCCUAGAACAUAUUUUCCAGCUGAAAACUUGUAUUUUAGACUGCACCAGCGAGCAAUGCGUGUGAGUAUAUCUUGAUAAAAUUAGACUAGAUCACAAAUGAACUAAAGGUGUUGUACCUGUGUGAAAUUCUGUCAUUUUUUCACCGUCCCAAGCGAGCAUGUAUUUCAGCACGUAGGCGCCACAAGAAUGGCUGGAAAAUCUAAGAGUUAGAAGAUGUAACUGAGUGGUGUUAAUUAAUUCAGAAUGCAGUAUGCACCCGUCGCUUUGUAUUGGUAUGUUUGUGUAGCUCUGUUUGUCCCAUUAGCAAAUGUUGCAUGAUACAUUGGCUGAAAUCUCACCACCCUGAACUGCAACUUGGAUGCAAUCUUGUAUGGACUCCACCUUGUUAAAUUAUAGAUCAUUACAAUCAUAUAACAUAUUGAGUAUUUAUAUUUAACAUGUACAUGUUACAUACCAGCAAAUUUUCCUUGAUCUCAUCUCGAAAAACAGGACUGGUUAUAGAGUUUAGAAUUUGAAUUUCUUUUUUUAUGAAUUUCAAAAUUAAUAGAUGCCAAUGGUCAUUGCGAACAUGCAUUGGGAUAAAAACCUGGUACAUAUAUGUAUUUAAAAUGAGUUGAGUAUGCCAUGUAGUAAUAAUUGAUCAUAUGUGCAUGUGAUGUACCAUGUUUUUUCCUACGCACUUCUUAGCAAUUUUUUCAGCCCAUUUUCUUUGCAGACCAUGGCAUCUAGUGUCCCCCGUUAGCUUUCUGCUGUCAUAUGUAGUUAAGACUGACGUUGUAUCAGUCUCUACAUUGCUAAGAAACGCGUACGCAUCAAUAACCUGGAAAAGUUAGGAACCGAUAAGAGGAUGAAUGGCAUGUAACUAGUUAGUGGACAAUUAAAUGGUAUGGGCGUACCUGACCAUAGAAGUAUCCAUUGGUAACAUUCGGUCUUAACAGCUUGACAGUCAGUAGAUAGCUACCAAUGUCAGCCACUUCAACCUCAUCAUAACUGUUUGUAAUGAAGCUUACUACUUCUUUGUCCUCUUCUGUCAAGUUGUAGUCAUCAUGAAAAACAGGUGUACGCGGUGCAAUGUAUUGUUGGGGGCAAAUAUUAAUCCCAGUCGCAUUAUCGCUAAGGUUUACAGGAGGUGUUGCGGUAUGUGUUGUCGUGUUUAGUGAAGGCUCGGCUUCUUUAGCGUCACCUAUUGAGUUUCGAAUAUUCAGCGGGACCUAUCACAGAUUAUGCACACAAGUAAGAGCACUAGUUAGUGAAGAAAUUCACUUUGUCUUGACAAUUUCAGGGUAUCAGAGAACAAAAACCUCAAUCACCACCAGAACCAACACUACCAGACUGCGAAACCUAUGAACCACGGGUAUGUGAAUGGGGGUGGGGCAAGCCAAUCAGCACUAUUUCAAAUGUUGUCAUAUUUUAAUUUUGCUUAAUGUGAUCAGUUUGAAUAUUACAUGAAGUUGUAAUGGAAUUUACGGUUCAUACUAGAGAGAGACUGCCGGGAUGCAUUGCAUUUGUCAAACCCGCCCAAGUGGAGUGGUGGCGUAUGGUCGAGGCACUAGCAGAUUUUGGGUACACAGGGAAGAGUGAAUUAUAUUAUCUGCAGCCUGGGUGCGUACCUCCAUGAGGGUUGGUAUUAAUGUUAGGAACUGAUGAAGUUGAGCAAGUGAUCCAAGUCCGUACAACUGUUCAUACAAAUGAACGGCACAUCAUCUAGUUGCAGCGAUGCUAGUGACCCAGGUUGUUCUACGGGUCAAGCGAAUGGCGAAGGUCAAACUGAAUCUGAAAACGAUGACACUUGGAUGGAAAAAAGUUUUUAUGAAGUGUGCAGUAGCAAAAGAAUGAAGAUGGAACCUCGCGAAGGAAAGUAGCCAAGCGACGGCAUGGAUGAAGUUUAAAUACUAAAAAUAGCUUUGGUUUUUAAUAUCAAAUAGGAUUGGGAAACAUCUGUACUUAAAUUGGAUUAAGACCACUUUUUAUUUUUCAAGGAUGCUUCUACACUUUCGAUGUUAGGCACAUUUGAUAAUAUUCUUAAAUCUGUCAGUCCGGCUCUUUGCAAACUACUACUUGUACUAGUAUUGUCUGUGUUCUACUUCUGUAUGGUGUGUUUUGAAUUUUUCUUC